Carassius carassius (crucian carp) is the source of this 725-nucleotide long non-coding RNA. RefSeq lists it as uncharacterized. The record is from RefSeq and is a predicted model, not a curated record. Lineage: Eukaryota; Metazoa; Chordata; Actinopteri; Cypriniformes; Cyprinidae. The transcript is spliced from 4 exons.
GUUUGUAUGUUUAAACUGGCGCGGUUUUGUUCGGUCGGGCUCGGGAGAAAUCGAAGUUGUGCUCGGUGUUUGUGCGGCGAGCGAACUCUCAGUUGAGUUUUUCCGUGUCUGUUUGAAUGCUUAAAUUGGCAAGACGCAAAACACGUGCAAUUGAUACGCUUUCGUGACAACGCUUAAAGGCCGUUUUUAUGCUGGUCUCGGGCAGUCAGUUGAAAUCUCCAGGGGCCCCUCAGCUGUAACCGUCACCAGCUGCUGGACAUCGCGUCACCAGUCCACUAACGUCAGCCGUUCUGAACCCGUUCCCCUCCCAGUCACGUGCUCGUUCACAACCACAAAGGGAGACUCUUUUUUAGAUGCGUGUUCGUCCAUAUAAUGGCAGUGAACACUUACCAGCUUCAAACUUAAAAAGAUAAAAAAGUAUCAUGUAAGCGCAGACUAUAAAAACGUAAUUUCUUCCUGUGUCGGCAAAGCUGGGAGAACAUAAUAAUGCCACUAGAUGGCGACAAGAGAGCUUCCUGGUCUUACAGCCCUUUAUGCUUUCUGUGAAGAAUGCGGCCGCCCUUUGUCCCGGAGGGAAGUGGAGCGCUGUCUGUGGGGGAGGGUGCGUGACAUGACCAAGAGCUCCUCUUCGUCACACCGAGCGGUCCAAUCACGCUUGAAGAGAUGAGCUUGCGAAGGAUCUACAGCUCAGAGAAUAGUCACAUUACUGGUUCUGCGGCUUGUAC